UUAUGUUGCCACUCUAGCAAUCAUUGUUCUUUACAUUUCUUUCACUUUUGCUAACUCUAGCAAUCACGUUCUUUACAUUUCUUUCACCUUAGGCUAUCUUUAGCUCUCACAUUCUUUAACUUUACGCGUUCUUUAUGCCCCACUUUACAUUAGCUUUAUUCAUUAAUAUCAUUCUUUACCUCGCAUUAGUUCUUUGCUUCACACUAACUCUAGUGUCACUUUACUUCACAUUCUCAAAUGCCACUCGAUCUAUGUCAUUGUACCACUCGGUUCUUUU
This 277-nucleotide long non-coding RNA is filed under the name Ananas comosus (pineapple). RNAcentral's name for it is "long non-coding RNA (ACOM_LNC036807)". Lineage: Eukaryota; Viridiplantae; Streptophyta; Magnoliopsida; Poales; Bromeliaceae. The record is from RNAcentral.